AGGAUGAACGCUGGCGGCGUGCCUAAUACAUGCAAGUCGAACGGUAACAGGCUUUCACUAUUUGCUUCUCUCUCAUCUGUAAAAUGAUGAGGUACAGAGGAGGAAGUGGUGAAAGUGCUGACGAGUGGCGGACGGCUGAGUAACGCGUGGGAACGUGCCCCAAAGUGAGGGAUAAGCUCUGGAAACAGAGUCUAAUACCGCAUAUGGUCUUCGGAUUAAAGUAUUUAUACGCUUUGGGAGCGGCCCGCGUUUGAUUAGAUAGUUGGUGAGGUAAAGCUCACCAAGUCUACGAUCAAUAGCUGUCUGAGAGGAUGAUCAGCCAGACUGGAAACUGAGAC
This 338-nucleotide ribosomal RNA is filed under the name uncultured soil bacterium. RNAcentral's name for it is "bacterial SSU rRNA". It matches the Rfam family "Bacterial small subunit ribosomal RNA", at positions 26 to 325 of the family's 1533-position model. The record is from RNAcentral.